UCCGAUCGCCCACAAUCGCCACCAUUACUAUGCACCGGAGACAAUCACCACCAAUACUACACUCCAACCACAAUCACCACCAAUACUACACUCCAACCACAAUCACCACCAAUCGACCAAGUGCUCCGACCAUAAAAUCGACCACCAGUGCAUGCUUCGACCAACAUAUCGACUAUCAGUGCGAGCUCCGACCACAAAUCGACCACUAGUGCUCCAACCACAAAUCAACUUCUCCAUUUCUCCGACAACCUCUUCGAUUUUAGCUCUCAAAUUUGCACUUUAAUUAUAGCUUCGAACGGCACAGAUUGUUAUAAUAUUCUUUUCUAAGAUUACAUUAACAGUUAGAUCAAUCAAAAUUAAAAAACCUUGAGUAUCCCCCCUUAAAUUCAAAACCCCAUUGUGAUCAUUCAGUGAAAUUCCCAAAUCUCUCUUCCAUUUGCUCUAGUCUUCUUCUUCACCGACGUCUCAGUCACCGCGAUUGCACACAAUGGACAGUACUCUAUUUUGCUGUAUUUCUUUGUUUUUUAUCUAUAUGUUUAGAUUUGAAGUCCUUUGUAUAUAUGAACUUUAAUAUUUCCAUAUGUUUUGUUUUUGCAGAUCUAGCCCUAGAAAAUCUAUGUGAUAACUUUGAUCAGGCAGUCACAAUCUCGGGCGAUGAUUUGAUGAAGGCUUCUUCAUCCAUUCCAAAUGGAAGUUUGUUUAUCAUCUUCCUUGGAUUCUACUCUUUUUAGAAAAAUAAUUGGUUGAUUCUUUGUGGAUUGUUGUUUUUAACAUUUUGAUGUGAUAUUUUUAUCUAUUUCGAGAAAGGUUAAUUGGGUUUCUCUAGUGAAUUUAAUUCGAGAAUCAAAUACUUUAUGUUUUAUUUGAAACCUACUUUUUAAUGAAUGGGUGAAUUGAUACUGCCAAGAAAUUAUAUUAAAACAGCAUAAAUUCGGAUUUCUAUUCUUGUUCGAUAAUUGUUUCUACAUGAGUCAAUAGUUUGGAAAUAUUUAAUGUUUUUUUAAUCUUGUGUAAUGAGAAUAACUAAAAGAUUUCAUUGAUUAGUUGUUGUGUAAACACUGUAAGGUACUUUGAUGUUUGAACAUUUAACGAGCUGCAACAUUCUUUUUAGUUUGUUACUCAAGAAACUAGUUGUAA
This 1137-nucleotide long non-coding RNA is filed under the name Capsicum annuum. RNAcentral's name for it is "long non-coding RNA (CANN_LNC021672)". Lineage: Eukaryota; Viridiplantae; Streptophyta; Magnoliopsida; Solanales; Solanaceae. The record is from RNAcentral.